AUUGCUUUGGCAGAAUAGUGUAAUAGAUUUAGGAUCUUUUAAUGUAGUUUAUGGAACUAUAAGUAAUA
Molecule: transfer RNA, 68 nt
Filed under: Cyclorhipidion bodoanum
Lineage: Eukaryota; Metazoa; Arthropoda; Insecta; Coleoptera; Curculionidae
Description: tRNA-Leu
Source: RNAcentral